UCCGUCUAGCUUCUGUAUAUCAUUUAUUGCUUGUAUAGUUGUAGAGAUGGAUAACAUGAUUCUCAAGUAUACCAAAUGAAUAUUUGUUUCGCCAGACUCGGAAGGUAAUAUUUCGUUAGGACAGGUGGAUGGUAAAAUUCCUGAGACGUUCCAUACUGAUGUAAGUCAUUGGUUGUAUAUCGAAAUUAGGUGAAUUUUAAUUUUUCGUGUCUGUUAAACAUGAAUAUUUUGGUGAUCUUGCUUUCACGAGUUUUUUUUUAAAAAAAAAUCUUUACAAACAUUGUGUAACGGGUUGGAGGAAAAAUAUGUAUAACACUAGUGAGCCGCAUUGGGUGCACGUGAAAAGAAUUACCAAAUAUCUUUAAAUCAA
Long non-coding RNA from Solanum pennellii, 370 nucleotides. RefSeq lists it as uncharacterized. NCBI's taxonomy places the organism in Eukaryota, Viridiplantae, Streptophyta, Magnoliopsida, Solanales, Solanaceae. The record is from RefSeq and is a predicted model, not a curated record. The transcript is spliced from 2 exons.